UACGGGGGGGGCAAGCGUUGUUCGGAAUUACUGGGCGUAAAGGGUCUGUAGGUGGCCAACUAAGUCAGACGUGAAAUCCCUCAGCUUAACUGGGGAACUGCGUCUGAUACUGGAUGGCUCGAGUGUGGGAGAGGAAUGCGGAAUUCCAGGUGUAGCGGUGAAAUGCGUAGAUAUCUGGAGGAACACCGGUGGCGAAGGCGGCAUUCUGGACCAUAACUGACACUGAGAGACGAAAGCCAGGGGAGCAAACGGG
RNAcentral lists this ribosomal RNA (253 nucleotides) under uncultured bacterium. RNAcentral's name for it is "partial 16S ribosomal RNA". It matches the Rfam family "Bacterial small subunit ribosomal RNA", at positions 524 to 776 of the family's 1533-position model. The record is from RNAcentral.